This 783-nucleotide ribosomal RNA is filed under the name uncultured bacterium. RNAcentral's name for it is "bacterial SSU rRNA". It matches the Rfam family "Bacterial small subunit ribosomal RNA", at positions 8 to 796 of the family's 1533-position model. The record is from RNAcentral.
AGAGUUUGAUCCUGGCUCAGGACGAACGCUGGCGGCGUGCUUAACACAUGCAAGUCGAACGGUAAGGCCCUUCGGGGUACACGAGUGGCGAACGGGUGAGUAACACGUGGGUAAUCUGCCCUGCACAUCGGGAUAAGCCUGGGAAACUGGGUCUAAUACCGAAUAGGACCACAGGACACAUGUCCUGUGGUGGAAAGCUUUUGCGGUGUGGGAUUGGCCCGCGGCCUAUCAGCUUGUUGGUGGGGUGAUGGCCUACCAAGGCGACGACGGGUAGCCGGCCUGAGAGGGUGUCCGGCCACACUGGGACUGAGAUACGGCCCAGACUCCUACGGGAGGCAGCAGUGGGGAAUAUUGCACAAUGGGCGAAAGCCUGAUGCAGCGACGCCGCGUGGGGGAUGACGGCCUUCGGGUUGUAAACCUCUUUCACCAUCGACGAAGGUCCGGGUUUUCUCGGGCUGACGGUAGGUGGAGAAGAAGCACCGGCCAACUACGUGCCAGCAGCCGCGGUAAUACGUAGGGUGCGAGCGUUGUCCGGAAUUACUGGGCGUAAAGAGCUCGUAGGUGGUUUGUCGCGUUGUUCGUGAAAUCUCACGGCUUAACUGUGAGCGUGCGGGCGAUACGGGCAGACUUGAGUACUGCAGGGGAGACUGGAAUUCCUGGUGUAGCGGUGGAAUGCGCAGAUAUCAGGAGGAACGCCGGUGGCGAAGGCGGGUCUCUGGGCAGUAACUGACGCUGAGGAGCGAAAGCGUGGGGAGCGAACAGGAUUAGAUACCCUGGUAGUCC